GUGUAAGUAUGAACAAAAUUCAGCUGUGAAACUUGCGAAUGGCUCAUAAAUGGUAUUGAUUGAUAGGGUAGGUUUGUGGUUGGUAAUCUACUACUCGAUUAACCGUAGUAGUUCUAGAGCUAAUACGUGCAAACAAAACCCCGACUUUGGCUGGAAGGGGAUGCAUUUAUUAGCAUUAAAAGGUCGACGCGGGCUCUGCCUUUGCUGUUGAUGAUUAUGAUAAACCGACGGAUCGCACGGCCAUCGUGCCACGCGACGCAUCAUUCAAAUUUCUGCCCUAUCAACGCUUCGAUGGUAGGAUGAUGGCUACUGUUAGACCUCUGCCAAUUUGAG
RNAcentral lists this ribosomal RNA (333 nucleotides) under Nicotiana attenuata. Its description in RNAcentral is "rRNA SSU_rRNA_eukarya". It matches the Rfam family "Eukaryotic small subunit ribosomal RNA", at positions 57 to 356 of the family's 1831-position model. The record is from Rfam by way of RNAcentral. Lineage: Eukaryota; Viridiplantae; Streptophyta; Magnoliopsida; Solanales; Solanaceae.